GACGAACGCUGGCGGCGUGCCUAAUACAUGCAAGUAGAACGCUGAAGGAGGAGCUUGCUUCUCUGGAUGAGUUGCGAACGGGUGAGUAACGCGUAGGUAACCUGCCUGGUAGCGGGGGAUAACUAUUGGAAACGAUAGCUAAUACCGCAUAAGAGUAGAAGUUGCAUGACAUUUGCUUAAAAGGUGCAAUUGCAUCACUACCAGAUGGACCUGCGUUGUAUUAGCUAGUUGGUGAGGUAACGGCUCACCAAGGCAACGAUACAUAGCCGACCUGAGAGGGGGAUCGGCCACACUGGGACUGAGACACGGCCCAGACUCCUACGGGAGGCAGCAGUAGGGAAUCUUCGGCAAUGGACGGAAGUCUGACCGAGCAACGCCGCGUGAGUGAAGAAGGUUGUCGGAUCGGAAAGAUCGGUUGUAAGAGAAGAACGAGUGUGAGAGUGGAAAGUUCACACUGUGACGGUAUCUUACCAGAAAGGGACGGCUAACUACGUG
This 495-nucleotide ribosomal RNA is filed under the name uncultured bacterium. Its description in RNAcentral is "partial 16S ribosomal RNA". It matches the Rfam family "Bacterial small subunit ribosomal RNA", at positions 28 to 507 of the family's 1533-position model. The record is from RNAcentral.